Molecule: transfer RNA, 77 nt
Filed under: Gerrhonotus infernalis
Lineage: Eukaryota; Metazoa; Chordata; Lepidosauria; Squamata; Anguidae
Description: tRNA-His
Rfam family: tRNA
About the family: Transfer RNA (tRNA) molecules are approximately 80 nucleotides in length.
Source: RNAcentral
UACCUCUGUAAAUAUAGUUUAACAAAAAACAUUAGUCUGUGGACCUAAAAAUAGAAGUUUUAACCUUCUUAUUAACC